This 305-nucleotide long non-coding RNA is filed under the name Fukomys damarensis (Damara mole-rat). Its description in RNAcentral is "lncRNA (ENSFDAG00000021885.1)". The record is from RNAcentral. Lineage: Eukaryota; Metazoa; Chordata; Mammalia; Rodentia; Bathyergidae.
CAUUGAGAAAACAUUCUGAUUUUGAUUUUCAACAUGAAACUGUUUGCAGAUGGCUGAUUGGAGAACCUUUGUAGAUGUCAUGAAUGUGGCAACCUGGGAAAUCAAAGCUGACACCCACAAAGGCCCUCAAGAUGUAAAAGACAUUUCUGUUCAUCUGGAUUGAAACUUUGUGAAGCCCAGCCUGCAAGACAUUGUGACUUGGCUGAAGAAGUCAUGGGAUAAAAACAUCGACAGCUGUGUUACCAAAGCACUACAAGCAGGCUACAUGGCCAAGAAAUGUUCAUUUAAGGACAGCAUUGCCGGAC